Andrographis paniculata is the source of this 718-nucleotide long non-coding RNA. RefSeq lists it as uncharacterized. The transcript has 3 exons. NCBI's taxonomy places the organism in Eukaryota, Viridiplantae, Streptophyta, Magnoliopsida, Lamiales, Acanthaceae. The record is from RefSeq and is a predicted model, not a curated record.
AUUCUAUUUUUUAUAUCAAAAGUAUAUUUCACCGGUAAGAACCAGUGUAUAAAUAAACUCAUGAAUUUAAUAAUCAAUAUUUUAAAAAUAAUACUUCAUCUUUUCUUCCUAUGAGAAAGAAAUUGGUAGUCAUCUUUUUUUUGCAGAUCCAGUAUAGUCGAGAAAGAAACCUAGUGCGUGGGGAUCUAGGGGAUCUAGGGGGAAGAAUGAGAAUUUACGGAACACAAACCCAACCUCGUCUACGAUUGCCCUUUCUCUCUUUAGGCAGGGACAGCUGUUUAAAGAAAGGGAUCCGUCCGCAUUCACGAGCUUCCUCCGAUAAACAACUGAACUAAGGCUGCAAAGACAGCUAUCUUCUCCUUGCUUGCUCCCUGGGGUUGUUUUGAGGGAGGCUGCUUUGGGCCCAGGAAGCGAAGGGAAUGAGCUCGGCGAAAAAGUGAUCCGUGUGUAUCAAUGGAGAAGGAGCCUUCUAGUACAAGCAAGAAUACGACGUCGCCGACGCCGGAUUCAUACAUCGGAUGCUCAUCAGCGUGACGUCGAAGUCAGAUAUUCGUUACGAGGGAUUUAUCUACUACAUCAAUCCUAAGGGAUGUUAUUUUCCGCGAAUAGAGAGUGGCGUUGCCAAUAUGAGAAAACCUUAGCGUUUUAGUGAAAAAUGGACCUCAAGUUCAGCGGAGUGACAAGGUGUAUAACUACAUUAUGAUUCGUGGCAGUGACA